Molecule: ribosomal RNA, 961 nt
Filed under: Eimeria sp. ex Apodemus agrarius
Lineage: Eukaryota; Apicomplexa; Conoidasida; Eucoccidiorida; Eimeriidae
Description: SSU rRNA
Rfam family: Eukaryotic small subunit ribosomal RNA
Source: RNAcentral
UCUAUGGCUAAUACAUGCGCACUCGCCUCCUUCUCUGGAGGGGCUGUGUUUAUUAGAUACAAAACCAACCCACUUUGUGGAGUCCUGGUGAUUCAUAGUAACCGAACGGAUCGCAGUUGGCUUCGGCCCGCGAUGGAUCUUUCAAGUUUCUGACCUAUCAGCUUUCGACGGUAGGGUAUUGGCCUACCGUGGCAGUGACGGGUAACGGGGAAUUAGGGUUCGAUUCCGGAGAGGGAGCCUGAGAAACGGCUACCACAUCUAAGGAAGGCAGCAGGCGCGCAAAUUACCCAAUGAAAACAGUUUCGAGGUAGUGACGAGAAAUAACAAUACAGGGCAUUUUAUGCUCUGUAAUUGGAAUGAUGGGAAUGUAAAACCCUUCCAGAGUAACAAUUGGAGGGCAAGUCUGGUGCCAGCAGCCGCGGUAAUUCCAGCUCCAAUAGUGUAUAUUAGAGUUGUUGCAGUUAAAAAGCUCGUAGUUGGAUUUCUGUCGUGGUCAUCCGGCUCCGCCCGUAUGGGUGUGCGCCUGGUUUGCCCUCGGCUUUCUUCCGGUAGCCUUCCGCGCUUCACUGCGUGUGUUGGUGUUCCGGAACUUUUACUUUGAGAAAAAUAGAGUGUUUCAAGCAGGCUUGUCGCCCUGAAUACUUCAGCAUGGAAUAAUAAGAUAGGACCUUGGUUCUAUUUUGUUGGUUUCUAGGACCAAGGUAAUGGUUAAUAGGGACAGUUGGGGGCAUUCGUAUUUAACUGUCAGAGGUGAAAUUCUUAGAUUUGUUAAAGACGAACUACUGCGAAAGCAUUUGCCAAGGAUGUUUUCAUUAAUCAAGAACGACAGUAGGGGGUUUGAAGACGAUUAGAUACCGUCGUAAUCUCUACCAUAAACUAUGCCGACUAGAGAUAGGGAAACGCCUACCUUGGCUUCUCCUGCACCUCAUGAGAAAUCAAAGUCUCUGGGUUCUGGGGGGGA